This 96-nucleotide transfer RNA is filed under the name Annulohypoxylon stygium. RNAcentral describes it as "tRNA-Glu". It matches the Rfam family "tRNA". Rfam says of the family: Transfer RNA (tRNA) molecules are approximately 80 nucleotides in length. Their secondary structure includes four short double-helical elements and three loops (D, anti-codon, and T loops). Lineage: Eukaryota; Fungi; Ascomycota; Sordariomycetes; Xylariales; Hypoxylaceae. The record is from RNAcentral.
UCCGAAUUGGUGUAGUGGCUAACAUUUGACGCUCUCAUGAUAAGUUUAACUUUGGAUGGAACCGUCAAGCCCGGGGUUCGAUUCCCCGAUUCGGAG